UACGGAGGAUCCGAGCGUUAUCCGGAUUUAUUGGGUUUAAAGGGUGCGCAGGCGGCCUUUUAAGUCAGCGGUGAAAUCGUGGUGCUCAACGCCAUUGUGCCGUUGAUACUGGAGGGCUUGAUUGCGGUCGAGGUAGGCGGAAUUCGUCGUGUAGCGGUGAAACGCAUAGAUAUGACGAAGAACACCGAUUGCGUUGGCAGCUUACCAGUCCGUAAAUGACGCUCAGGCACGAAAGUGCGGGGAUCGAACA
Molecule: ribosomal RNA, 250 nt
Filed under: uncultured prokaryote
Description: partial 16S ribosomal RNA
Rfam family: Bacterial small subunit ribosomal RNA
Source: RNAcentral